UACGUAUGGUGCAAGCGUUAUCCGGAUUUACUGGGCGUAAAGGGUGCGUAGGUGGUUUGGCAAGUUGGCGGCGUAAUUCCGAGGCUCAACCUCGGCGCUACCGCCAAAACUGUUGAACUUGAGUGCAGGAGGGGUAAGUGGAAUUCCUAGUGUAGCGGUGGAAUGCGUAGAUAUUAGGAGGAACAUCGGUGGCGAAGGCGACUUACUGGACUGUAACUGACACUGAGGCACGAAAGCGUGGGGAGCAAACAGG
This 253-nucleotide ribosomal RNA is filed under the name uncultured bacterium. RNAcentral's name for it is "partial 16S ribosomal RNA". It matches the Rfam family "Bacterial small subunit ribosomal RNA", at positions 524 to 776 of the family's 1533-position model. The record is from RNAcentral.